GCGGUGGCCCGAGUGGUGGCCCUGAGUUCCCGCCCAGAGACGGGCGCCUGCGUCGGUGGAGAGGAGCCCUCCGCGGCCCACGCUGGCCCCCACGGAGCAGGCGGUUGCGCCCAGUAUCGUCCGGAACUCGGGAGAAGCCGCCCUGGGUGCUCGGCCGUGGGCCACCCGCGGGGGCGGCCGGACACGCCAGGGCCUUGGGGCUGGGGCUGCGCUGGUGUCGGCCUGCUGACCGCGGCUCCCGGCCCCGCCCCGCUGACCGCGGCUCCCGGCCCCGCCCCGCUCACAGCUGUCCGCUCCACAGAUCGGCUGCUAUCGAGGCUUCGCCCUGGCGUGGAGGCACCUGCUGCGGGGCUGUGCGGCCGAGGACAGGAAGCGGAGAGUCCUGGAGUCGCUGAUCGGCCUGCUGCAGCAGUUCCCCUACGACGACCCCGCCUACGAGAGGCUCCAGGAGGACCUGGACAGGAUCCGGGGCAAGUUCCGGCAGCUCUGUUCACUGCUCAGCGUCCAGCCGGACUUUAAAGUUCCUGGGGAGGGUUCCGGACUUUCAUUUUGAGGGUGACAGACCCACAAAGGCGGGACAUCAGGGAACAGAUGUUCACAUGCCGAGUGCUUCAACACGUGAUCCAAGGGAGGUGCGGCGGGCAGAGGAGCUGUCGCGUGUGAGCCCCGUCCUCCCACGGGCCCCGCGGGCCAGCUCUGCCCACCCGGUGCUGAAGGCGGCGAGGAGCCGGCUGCGGCUCUCAACCACCACGCGCGUCUGCAGCGGGAGAGCCGGGCGCGCCAGGAGCGCCGGGAACGGGCGCGGCGUGGCAUUUGGAGGACGAGGCUCGGGCUCCGUCCUCCCGACUGUGACCGGCGGUGGCCGGUGCAUUAGCGGGGAGCUGGAUUGGAAGAGGAGCAGCCGGGACUCGAACCAGCACUUGUACGGGACGCUGGUGCCGCAGGCGGGGGCUUAACCUGCUGUGCCGCAGCGCCGGCCCCGUCAGUCACCUCCUUAAAGGCGUGUGUCCAACUGCGUCGCGUUCUGAGAUGUGCGGCAUCCGUGCAUGGGUGGCGCAGGGACGCGGACGCCGCGGCCUGAGGCAGCCGCCCUGGCUGUGCUGGACCUUGGCUGUUGACCCAGGACGUGAGCAGGUGGGCACAGCUGAGGCUAACCCUCCACCAAAGCCUGCCUUGGAGUCCCCCUCCCCCCACCCGGGGCAGUUGCUGUCCUGCAGCAAGGCCGUGUCCACCUGCUGGGACACACGGACACGGUUUGGAGACAGCAGUGUCGUUAACAAGCGAGUUCGUCCCAGUCCUUAACACGGAGGGGGGUGUGGCUCCCUGAGGGCAGCCGGGCAGGGUGCUGGGCGCUGCCCGGGACACAGGCCUCCUGCAGUGGGGGAGCAGCUGCCGCGGGCGACGGGGCCCAGCUGGGGCUUGGGGUCUGUGUCCAGAAGGGUCGCUCCUUGCUUCAGACCUGUGCCGGAACUUUCUUCACGGCUGAGACUCCGCGGCUGGCUUCGAGGGCCCGGCCAGUCUCUUGCAGCCCAGUGACACCAUGGUGGCCAUGUCUCCCCCACGUGCCGUCCCAGGCCAGCCGGGCCUUGGCUCGCCUCAGGGUUCCUGCCUGGCGGCGUGGCCAGACGGCUCCUGGUUCCCAUGGAAUCCCUGUGUCCGGUAAAUCUUGGAGUGGGCACUGCUCGUGGGCCUGGGCCUGGACGUGAGAGCCCGGGCGGGCGCCUCACGGAUUCCACUGUGGGGUCUGAUCUCUGGUGGCCGUGGCGUGGCCGUGGCUGAGGCCGAGGCCGUAUCAGAAGCUGGGGUUUGGCACGUGUGAGGAAGACGUGAGGUGAGGUGUAGCUGUGGUGGCCCAGGAGGAGGCCGUGUGACAGAGGCAGGGACUGGGGUGCCCGGGCACCUCCAGGAGCUGGGGAGGGCAGAGCCUGUGGGGACCCCUGUUCCACUUCAGCCUCCAGGAGCCCCUUGUGUGACAGCUGCGUGGUGUGUGACGGUUUGUUAGGGAAGCCCCAGGGAGUGAUGGGAGACCCUCCCUCCCUGUGAGCCCAGAGCCGUCCAGCUAACGAGAGGUGGUGGGGGCGCCUACACCCCAGGAAGGCGCUGGCUUCUCAAGAUGUUAGCACAGUCCUCGGCGCCCACCCCUGCAGACCACCACCUCCCGGGGCUUGGCUGACGCCCUGCAGCGAGCCAACACGGUGAGCACCCGGGAGGCUGGCCUGAGCCUGUCCCCGGGCCUCAGCCCCGUCUCAGGCCUGGGGCGAUGGCCGUGGUCAGGCAGCUUUUCUAAGUCUGGUCACACGUGGGCUCCGUGACACGGAGUGCCAGGUUGGUCACACGUGUGCUCCAUGACAUGGAGGGACCUGGCUAGCAGCGUCGGUUCCCUUGAGGUAGAGCGGUUCCACACACGUGUGAGCUGGUUCCGUGCCAGGCGCUGUGGACCAGACACAAGUCUCCCCAUGGAGUGCCCAGCUAAGCAGGGCCAGUGAAGGCUCUGGGACUGCGGGGCCGGUGCUGUGGGGUAGUGGGUAAAGCCGGCAUCCUGAGCGCCGUCAUCCCAUGUGGGUGCUGGUUUGAGUCCCGGCUGCUCCACUUCCGCUCCAGCUCCCUGCUAAUGCGCCUGGGAGAGCAGUGAGGACGGCCCAAGUGCUGGGGCCCUGCACCCACAUGGGAGACCCGGAUGGAGCUCCUGGCUUCAGCCUGGCCAGCCCUGGUCGUUGCGGCCAUUUGGGGGAGUGAACCAGGAAGACCUCUCUCUCUCCUCUGUCUCUCCCUCUCUCACUGUAACGCUGACUUUCAAAUAAAUAAAUCAGUCUUAAACA
Molecule: long non-coding RNA, 2819 nt
Organism: Oryctolagus cuniculus (rabbit)
Lineage: Eukaryota; Metazoa; Chordata; Mammalia; Lagomorpha; Leporidae
Source: Ensembl